UUCCGGUUGAUCCUGCCGGACCCGACUGCUAUUUGGGUGAGGAUAAGCCAUGCGAGUUGAAUGGGAUACCCAAAGUUCCCAUGGCAAACUGCUCAGUAACACAUGAUCAACUUACCCUAUAGAGGAAAAUAACCUCGGGAAACUGAGGAUAAUAUUCCAUAGUUGAAUCGGCUUGGAAAAGUUUUUCAAUAAAAGGGAUAAGGAAAAUGGUUCUUAUCUGCUAUAGGAUAGGAUCGUGUUCGAUUAUGGUUGUUGGUGAGGUAAAGGCUCACCAAGCCGAUAAUCGAUAGGGGCCGUGAGAGCGGGAGCCCCGAGAUGGGUACUGAGACAACGACCCAGGCCUUACGAGGCGCAGCAGGCGCGAAACCUCCGCAAUACACGAAAGUGUGACGGGGUUACCCAAAGUGUUCUAUUUAGAACUGUGGUAGGUGAGUAAUGUCCCCUGCUAGAAAGGAGAGGGCAAGGCUGGUGCCAGCCGCCGCGGUAAAACCAGCUCUUCAAGUGGUCGGGAUAAUUAUUGGGCUUAAAGUGUCCGUAGCCGGUUUAGUAAGUUCCUGGUAAAAUCGGGUAGCUUAACUAUCUAUAUGCUAGGAAUACUGCUAUACUAGAGGGCGGGAGAGGUCUGAGGUACUACAGGGGUAGGGGUGAAAUCUUAUAAUCCUUGUAGGACCACCAGUGGCGAAGGCGUCAGACUGGAACGCGCCUGACGGUGAGGGACGAAAGCCAGGGGAGCGAACCGGAUUAGAUACCCGGGUAGUCCUGGCCGUAAACGAUGCAUACUAGGUGAUGGCACGGCCAUGAGCCGUGUCAGUGCCGUAGGGAAACCGUUAAGUGUGCCGCCUGGGAAGUACGGUCGCAAGGCUAAAACUUAAAGGAAUUGGCGGGGGAGCACCACAAGGGGUGAAGCCUGCGGUUCAAUUGGAUUCAACGCCGGA
This 935-nucleotide ribosomal RNA is filed under the name uncultured archaeon. RNAcentral describes it as "bacterial SSU rRNA". It matches the Rfam family "Archaeal small subunit ribosomal RNA", at positions 1 to 922 of the family's 1478-position model. The record is from RNAcentral.